RNAcentral lists this ribosomal RNA (1322 nucleotides) under Enterobacter cancerogenus. RNAcentral describes it as "bacterial LSU rRNA". It matches the Rfam family "Bacterial large subunit ribosomal RNA", at positions 1548 to 2845 of the family's 2925-position model. The record is from RNAcentral. Lineage: Bacteria; Pseudomonadati; Pseudomonadota; Gammaproteobacteria; Enterobacterales; Enterobacteriaceae.
UUUUAACGCUGAGGUGUGAUGACGAGGCACUACGGUGCUGAAGUAACAAAUGCCCUGCUUCCAGGAAAAGCCUCUAAGCAUCAGGUAACACGAAAUCGUACCCCAAACCGACACAGGUGGUCAGGUAGAGAAUACCAAGGCGCUUGAGAGAACUCGGGUGAAGGAACUAGGCAAAAUGGUGCCGUAACUUCGGGAGAAGGCACGCUGAUAUGUAGGUGAAGCCCCUGCGGGUGGAGCUGAAAUCAGUCGAAGAUACCAGCUGGCUGCAACUGUUUAUUAAAAACACAGCACUGUGCAAACACGAAAGUGGACGUAUACGGUGUGACGCCUGCCCGGUGCCGGAAGGUUAAUUGAUGGGGUUAGCGGCAACGCGAAGCUCUUGAUCGAAGCCCCGGUAAACGGCGGCCGUAACUAUAACGGUCCUAAGGUAGCGAAAUUCCUUGUCGGGUAAGUUCCGACCUGCACGAAUGGCGUAAUGAUGGCCAGGCUGUCUCCACCCGAGACUCAGUGAAAUUGAACUCGCUGUGAAGAUGCAGUGUACCCGCGGCAAGACGGAAAGACCCCGUGAACCUUUACUAUAGCUUGACACUGAACACUGGUCCUUGAUGUGUAGGAUAGGUGGGAGGCUUUGAAGCGUGGACGCCAGUCUGCGUGGAGCCGUCCUUGAAAUACCACCCUUUAAUGGCUGGUGUUCUAACGUGGACCCGUUACCCGGGUUGCGGACAGUGUCUGGUGGGUAGUUUGACUGGGGCGGUCUCCUCCCAAAGAGUAACGGAGGAGCACGAAGGUUAGCUAAUCCUGGUCGGACAUCAGGAGGUUAGUGCAAUGGCAUAAGCUAGCUUGACUGCGAGAGUGACGGCUCGAGCAGGUGCGAAAGCAGGUCAUAGUGAUCCGGUGGUUCUGAAUGGAAGGGCCAUCGCUCAACGGAUAAAAGGUACUCCGGGGAUAACAGGCUGAUACCGCCCAAGAGUUCAUAUCGACGGCGGUGUUUGGCACCUCGAUGUCGGCUCAUCACAUCCUGGGGCUGAAGUAGGUCCCAAGGGUAUGGCUGUUCGCCAUUUAAAGUGGUACGCGAGCUGGGUUUAGAACGUCGUGAGACAGUUCGGUCCCUAUCUGCCGUGGGCGCUGGAGAAUUGAGGGGGGCUGCUCCUAGUACGAGAGGACCGGAGUGGACGCAUCACUGGUGUUCGGGUUGUCAUGCCAAUGGCACUGCCCGGUAGCUAAAUGCGGAAGAGAUAAGUGCUGAAAGCAUCUAAGCACGAAACUUGCCCCGAGAUGAGUUCUCCCUGAGACUUUAAGUCUCCUGAAGGAACGUUGAAGAC